Molecule: small nucleolar RNA, 107 nt
Filed under: Gossypium hirsutum (cotton)
Lineage: Eukaryota; Viridiplantae; Streptophyta; Magnoliopsida; Malvales; Malvaceae
Description: Plant small nucleolar RNA R71
Rfam family: Plant small nucleolar RNA R71
About the family: R71 is a member of the C/D box family of snoRNAs containing the C (UGAUGA) and D (CUGA) box motifs. Multiple nearly identical copies of this snoRNA have been identified in Arabidopsis, and it is thought to function as a 2'-O-ribose methylation guide for 18S ribosomal RNA.
Source: Rfam by way of RNAcentral
AACCCAUGGUGAGGGCACAUUCUCAACAGAUCCUUGUAUCUCUCCCAUGCAUCAUAAAGUGUUUCUAAAUCCAUCUGCACAAAAGAGGAGAUAUCAUUACGUAAUUU